UAUGGUUUGAGAUAGUCUUAGAAUUUCGUAAGUAAUUAUUUCAGGUUAUGUGUAUCAGAACCAAACACUUGUUAUUUUCAGUGAGCUUGUGUUUCCGCAUUGCGAGCAGGAGGUGACUAGUGUUUAGACAAACAUAUUAGCGCACAUUACGUACCUGUGCUGUUCGGCAAUUACGAAGAAUACCAGAUCGACGCUUGGUGGCUUAGGAGGGCAAUCAUGGACUGCAAGGGAACUAGUUGGGUGAAAAAAGAGAAGAAUGAAAUAUAUGCUGAACCAGAAUCCUUGUUUAUUGAAGGUCCGCUAAAGAUUGUAAUGCCUAGUCUCCAUAUAAAGCAAGACCAAGAACUGAAACAGGAGGAUGGCAUUGAGCGUGAUGUAAGUUUUCACAUCAGU
Schistocerca americana (American grasshopper) is the source of this 393-nucleotide long non-coding RNA. RefSeq lists it as uncharacterized. Lineage: Eukaryota; Metazoa; Arthropoda; Insecta; Orthoptera; Acrididae. The record is from RefSeq and is a predicted model, not a curated record. The transcript has 3 exons.